This 350-nucleotide unclassified non-coding RNA is filed under the name soil metagenome. Its description in RNAcentral is "partial contains 5.8S ribosomal RNA, internal transcribed spacer 2, and large subunit ribosomal RNA". The stretch from base 1 to 120 matches the Rfam family "5.8S ribosomal RNA", at positions 35 to 154 of the family's 154-position model. The record is from RNAcentral.
GAUGAAGAACGUAGCGAAAUGCGAUACGUAGUGUGAAUUGCAGAAUUCAGUGAAUCAUCGAAUCUUUGAACGCACAUUGCGCCCGCCAGUAUUCUGGCGGGCAUGCCUGUCCGAGCGUCAUUUCAACCCUCGAACCCCUCCGGGGGGUCGGCGUUGGGGAUCGGCCCUUUACGGGGCCGGCCCCGAAAUACAGUGGCGGUCUCGCCGCAGCCUCUCCUGCGCAGUAGUUUGCACACUCGCAUCGGGAGCGCGGCGCGUCCACAGCCGUUAAACACCCCAAACUUCUGAAAUGUUGACCUCGGAUCAGGUAGGAAUACCCGCUGAACUUAAGCAUAUCAAUAAGCGGAGGA